Molecule: ribosomal RNA, 253 nt
Filed under: uncultured bacterium
Lineage: Bacteria
Description: partial 16S ribosomal RNA
Rfam family: Bacterial small subunit ribosomal RNA
Source: RNAcentral
UACGAAGGGUGCGAGCGUUGUCCGGAAUUACUGGGCGUAAAGCGUGCGCAGGCGGUUCUAUAAGACAGAUGUGAAAUCCCCGGGCUCAACCUGGGAACUGCAUUUGUGACUGUAGAGCUGGAGUACGGCAGAGGGGGAUGGAAUUCCGCGUGUAGCAGUGAAAUGCGUAGAUAUGCGGAGGAACACCGAUGGCGAAGGCAAUCCCCUGGGCCUGUACUGACGCUCAUGCACGAAAGCGUGGGGAGCAAACAGG